GCGAAUCGCCCUUCGGGGUGCACCAGGCGCGAAAACUCUACAAUGCAGGCAACUGCGAUAGGGGAACAUCGAGUGGCACCCACCAUGGGUGUCUGUCCAGCCGUCUAAAAAACGGCUGUUAGCAAGGGCCGGGCAAGACCGGUGCCAGCCGCCGCGGUAAUACCGGCGGCUCGAGUGGUGGCCGAUAUUAUUGAGUCUAAAGGGUCCGUAGCCGGCUUUGCAAGUCCCCUGGGAAAUCCAGCGGCUUAACCGUUGGGCUUUCAUGGGAUACUACAUUGCUUGGGACUGGGAGAGGUAGGAGGUACUCAGGGGGUAGGGGUGAAAUCCUGUAAUCCUCUGGGGACCACCGGUGGCGAAGGCGUCCUACCAGAACAGGUCCGACGGUGAGGGACGAAAGCUAGGGGCACGAACCGGAUUAGAUACCCGGGUAGUCCUAGCCGUAAACGAUGCUCGCUAGGCGUCACGGCAGUCGUGAAUUGUCGUGGUGCCGUAGGGAAGCCGUGAAGCGAGCCACUUGGGAAGUACGACCGCAAGGUUGAAACUUAAAGGAAUUGGCGGGGGAGCAC
RNAcentral lists this ribosomal RNA (566 nucleotides) under uncultured archaeon. Its description in RNAcentral is "bacterial SSU rRNA". It matches the Rfam family "Archaeal small subunit ribosomal RNA", at positions 313 to 879 of the family's 1478-position model. The record is from RNAcentral.